AACGAACGCUGGCGGCAGGCCUAACACAUGCAAGUCGAACGCUCGUAGCAAUACGAGAGUGGCAGACGGGUGAGUAACACGUGGGAACCUUCCCUAUGGUUCGGAAUAGCUCAGGGAAACUUGGGGUAAUACCGGAUAAGCCCUUCGGGGAAAGAUUUAUCGCCAUUGGAUGGGCCCGCGUCGGAUUAGCUAGUUGGUGAGGUAACGGCUCACCAAGGCAACGAUCCGUAGCUGGCUGAGAGGAUGAUCAGCCACACUGGGACUGAGACACGGCCCAGACUCCUACGGGAGGCAGCAGUGGGGAAUAUUGGACAAUGGGCGCAAGCCUGAUCCAGCCAUGCCGCGUGAGUGACGAAGGUCUUCGGAUUGUAAAACUCUUUUGGCGGGACGAUAAUGACGGUACCCGCAGAAUAACGCCCCGGCUAACUUCGUGCCAGCAGCCGCGGUAAG
This 450-nucleotide ribosomal RNA is filed under the name uncultured bacterium. Its description in RNAcentral is "bacterial SSU rRNA". It matches the Rfam family "Bacterial small subunit ribosomal RNA", at positions 29 to 524 of the family's 1533-position model. The record is from RNAcentral.